RNAcentral lists this ribosomal RNA (253 nucleotides) under uncultured bacterium. RNAcentral describes it as "partial 16S ribosomal RNA". It matches the Rfam family "Bacterial small subunit ribosomal RNA", at positions 524 to 776 of the family's 1533-position model. The record is from RNAcentral.
UACGUAGGGGGCAAGCGUUGUCCGGAAUCACUGGGCGUAAAGAGUGCGUAGGCGGUUGUGUAAGUCUGGAGUGAAAGUCCAAGGCUCAACCUUGGGAAUGCUUCGGAAACUGGAUGACUUGAGUGCUGGAGAGGCAAGGGGAAUUCCACGUGUAGCGGUGAAAUGCGUAGAUAUGUGGAGGAAUACCAGUGGCGAAGGCGCCUUGCUGGACAGAAACUGACGCUGAGGCACGAAAGCGUGGGGAGCAAACAGG